AAGACGGAUCGGGCAAUCGCGGUGCGCUUGCGCAUCGAGGAAGGUCCGGACUCCACAGGGCGCGGUAGCGGCUAACGGCCGUCCGGGCGUACGGCAGGGUUUCCUGUCGUGCGGCCGAGGAACAGGGCCACAGAGACGAGUCUGCGGAGCGGGCGCGGGCAACCGCGCACAGGCACGGCGACUUCCGUGCCGCGCGUCCCACACGGGACGCGGCGUCGCAGGGUGAAACGCGGCAACCUCUACCGGGAGCAACAUCAAAUAGGCAUGCGCAGGGUCUUCGGACCCGGAAGGGCGGCUCGCCCGAGCAUGCGGGUAGAUGGCUAGAUCCGGCCAGUAAUGGCCGGGCCAGAGGAAUGAUUGCCCGCCGGGGCGACCCGGCGUACAGAAUCCGGCCUAUAGAUCCGUCUUGCCC
RNAcentral lists this RNase P RNA (412 nucleotides) under Bordetella flabilis. RNAcentral's name for it is "RNase P RNA component class A". It matches the Rfam family "Bacterial RNase P class A". From Rfam's summary of the family: Ribonuclease P (RNase P) is a ubiquitous endoribonuclease, found in archaea, bacteria and eukarya as well as chloroplasts and mitochondria. Its best characterised activity is the generation of mature 5'-ends of tRNAs by cleaving the 5'-leader elements of precursor-tRNAs. The record is from RNAcentral. Lineage: Bacteria; Pseudomonadati; Pseudomonadota; Betaproteobacteria; Burkholderiales; Alcaligenaceae.